GGUCUUUAGCUUGAUGGGAGUGAAGACAAACGGCCCCAGCUGGGGUUUGGGUUCCGCUGGAACGUGUGCCUCUCUGGGCCUCAGUGUCCCCGUGACUAUGGGCCAAGGGCAGAAGCCAUGGCAGCCUGGUCUCAGGAACAGAGCGAGAGCCAAGCGGGGGAGGUGGCAGUGCGGCCAUUCCUGACGGCCCGGGUCCUGUGAGGCCCGGAGGGCUCUGGGCUAAUGGCCUCUAGUGACUGGCACCUGGGCAGCCCCCAAAUUACCUUCCCUUGGCUACAAGUAGCUGGGAGGGAGGUGAAGAUUCCCAUUUCUGAGGGGCGUCCUGGGGGCACAUCAGGUUUGAGGCCAAUGACGCUUGCGGUCUGGGGCAGGUGGCACUGGUCUGGGCUGGAGGUGGGGAAGCCCCUGGGGCUGAGGGGGUGACUGAAGCUGUGUGUGGGUGGAGGGGCCCAGGGAGGAGAGGGGUGGCUGACGGGAAAGAGCAGCCAGGCUGGCGAGGAGGAGGGCAGAGUCCAAGGGAGAGAGGACACGUGGUCAUCCCCAGCCGGUGUGCCACGGCUGUGGCCUUGCAGAGCUUCACCUCCCACCUGCUGGAGGAUGCCGGGAGCCCCUACCUCAUUGGCAUUGUGAGUCACCCUGGGCGGGGGCUGGCCUGGGGAGGCUGGGGGCUUCGGGGGCUGUGCCCUGACACCCACCCCCACAUCCUCGCAGAUCUCAGACCUGAUCUGCCAGAGCACCAAGGACUCCCUGCUCUGGGAGUUCCUGAGCCUGGGCUAUGUGCUCAUGCUCUGCCCCUUCGUCGUGGUCCUGGGGGGCAUGUUCUUCCUCGCCAUGGUGCUCUUCUUCCUCAGCGACCGUGCCGAGGCUGAGCAGCAGUGAGUGGGGCUGAGGGGAGGCCUGCUGGGGAGCCCUGCUCGGGGGUGGCGGAGGGGAGACCUGGGUGCACCCAGUGGGUGGCCUGGUUGCUGGGGUCCAGCCCCCGGGCCUCCCCACACCUGUGGGGCUCAGUGCCAGCAUUGGCCUGGAGCUGUGGGGGGCCACAGGGGUGUCUGGUGGGUCCAGGCUUGGACUUGGUGGUUUUUGAAGCUGGGACCCCUCCCCAUUCGUUUUCCUCUCACCUUCUGACUUCUUUCUCCUUUCCUCUUUCCUCCUCUCUCUCCUCUCCCCACCCCUGGGCUCUCCCACCUCCCCCUGGGGCUGACGAGGUCCCUGCCCAGCACCUCCGGUCAGCUGGCCCCCACAACAUGAUGUGCCAGAGCAGUGCCCGGGCCCAGGCCCGGCCCCUGCUGACGCGCCACCCUGACCCCUGCCCGUCGCUCCCCCAGGGUGAACCAGCUGGUGAUGCCGCCCAAAUCUGUGAAAGUCUGAGGUGGUGAGUGCAGGCAGAGAGGCCCUCGGGAAGGGGGAAGGCCAGGGCUAGGUGACAGGGAGCA
RNAcentral lists this long non-coding RNA (1433 nucleotides) under Aotus nancymaae (Ma's night monkey). Its description in RNAcentral is "lncRNA (ENSANAG00000039196.1)". The record is from RNAcentral. Lineage: Eukaryota; Metazoa; Chordata; Mammalia; Primates; Aotidae.